Dermacentor silvarum is the source of this 749-nucleotide long non-coding RNA. RefSeq lists it as uncharacterized. NCBI's taxonomy places the organism in Eukaryota, Metazoa, Arthropoda, Arachnida, Ixodida, Ixodidae. The transcript is spliced from 5 exons. The record is from RefSeq and is a predicted model, not a curated record.
GGGGAUGUUUGAACGGAAUGUGUCCCUUCGUCUACAAAACUCUGCACGCUGCGGCAUCGAAGUCCUGUGUACGGGUGCACGUAUGCGCUUGGAUACGGGAUAGCCUGCCCUCAACGGAUGUUCAACAGUGUACGCACGCUGCGCGUACGCGUACGUAUGAGACUAGUUGCUGGUGUCCUGCUGGAGCUGAGAAGAGAUCUGCUGCCUGCCAUGAGACCAUGUCUCUCAAGUUACCGCAAUAUUGUUGCCUUCAAAGGGAGACGGCUCUCACAACUGGAGAAGCCUGGGAAGCAUGCAGUACUCCACAAAACCAGUUUCAACGUAAAAUGUGUCUGCAUCUCAUAAUUUCAUGGCUGCAAGAGUGAGCCCAAUGCCUGUCGAGACAAGGUUUCUGUACAUGGCCAUGGCGCUCAAGGAAGAAACCGAGACUGUAGACUACCAACGUUCAUUCCUGUUCCGGCAAAGACGGGCCAGCAGUGACCAGCAGGAUUUUACAAAGUGAACUCAUCACAGCUUGAGCCACUCCAUGCCACAAGCAGUUGCUCCUCGAGCCACCGUGCAAAGGUUCCUUGGGGCACAAGUCCAACUCGGCGCCACAACCUUUCUUCUGCAGUUUUUCUACCUACUUAGCUAACCAGCAGCAAGUUUAUCCUUGCAAGGCAUGUGGGAACAGCUUUCACCAGGAAAAGUACAAGACGAGUGGUCGAAGAAAAUAAAAUUGCUUCUGUGAUCUAAAGUACUUGACGAAU